This 24-nucleotide non-coding RNA is filed under the name Arabidopsis thaliana (thale cress). Lineage: Eukaryota; Viridiplantae; Streptophyta; Magnoliopsida; Brassicales; Brassicaceae. The record is from RNAcentral.
AUCGGUCAUCUCUUCUCUCUCCUU